CCAAUAGCGUAUAUUAAAGUUGUUGCAGUUAAAAAGCUCGUAGUUGAAUUUCGGGAUCAGUACGCCGGUCGUGCCUUCGGUAUGCACUGGUGUCACUGGUUUCUCCCUUCUGAAGAACCAUCAUGCCAUUCAGUUGGUGUGGCGGGGAAUCAGGACUGUUACUUUGAAAAAAUUAGAGUGUUUAAAGCAGGCCCGCGCUUGAAUACAUUAGCAUGGAAUAAUGAAAUAGGACGUUUGACCCUAUUUUGUUGGUUUCUAGGAUCGACGUAAUGAUUAAUAGGGAUAGUUGGGGGCAUUAGUAUUCAAUUGUCAGAGGUGAAAUUCUUGGAUUUAUUGAAGACUAACUACUGCGAAAGCAUUUGCCAAGGAUGUUUUCAUUAAUCAAGAACGAAAGUUAGGGGAUCGAAGACGAUCAGAUACCGUCGUAGUCUUAACCAUAAACUAUGCCGACUAGGGAUCGGACGAUGUUAAUUUUUUAAUGACUCAUUCGGCGCCUUACG
RNAcentral lists this ribosomal RNA (500 nucleotides) under uncultured Glomeromycotina. RNAcentral's name for it is "partial small subunit ribosomal RNA". It matches the Rfam family "Eukaryotic small subunit ribosomal RNA", at positions 591 to 1092 of the family's 1831-position model. The record is from RNAcentral. Lineage: Eukaryota; Fungi; Glomeromycota.